RNAcentral lists this ribosomal RNA (227 nucleotides) under uncultured Bacillus sp. RNAcentral's name for it is "partial 16S ribosomal RNA". It matches the Rfam family "Bacterial small subunit ribosomal RNA", at positions 223 to 449 of the family's 1533-position model. The record is from RNAcentral. Lineage: Bacteria; Bacillati; Bacillota; Bacilli; Caryophanales; Bacillaceae.
AGACGGACCCCCUGCUCAGUAGCUAAAUGGUGAGGUAAGGGAUCACCAAGGCCACGAUGGGUAGCCGAACUGAGAGGGUGAGCGGCCACACUGGGACUGAAACCCGGCCCAAACUCCUACUGGAGGCAGCAGUAGGGAAUCUUCCGCAAUGGACGAAAGUCUGACGGAGCAACGCCGCGUGAACGAUGAAGGCUUUCGGGUCGUAAAGUUCUGUUGUCAGGGAAGAA